GACAGAGGGUGCAAACGUUGUUCGGAAUUACUGGGCGUAAAGCGCGUGUAGGCUGCUCUGCAAGUCGGAUGUGAAAGCCCUGGGCUCAACCUAGGAAGUGCACUCGAAACUGCGGAGCUUGAGUCUCGGAGAGGAUCGCGGAAUUCUCGGUGUAGAGGUGAAAUUCGUAGAUAUCGGGAGGAACACCGGUGGCGAAGGCGGCGAUCUGGGUCGAUACUGACGCUGAGGUGCGAAAGCGUGGGGAGCAAACAGG
This 253-nucleotide ribosomal RNA is filed under the name uncultured bacterium. RNAcentral's name for it is "partial 16S ribosomal RNA". It matches the Rfam family "Bacterial small subunit ribosomal RNA", at positions 524 to 776 of the family's 1533-position model. The record is from RNAcentral.